UACGGGGGGGGCAAGCGUUGUUCGGAAUUACUGGGCGUAAAGGGCUCGUAGGCGGCCAACUAAGUCAUACGUGAAAUCCCCCGGCUUAACCGGGGAACUGCGUCUGAUACUGGAUGGCUUGAGUUCGGGAGAGGGAUGCGGAAUUCCAGGUGUAGCGGUGAAAUGCGUAGAUAUCUGGAGGAACACCGGUGGCGAAGGCGGCAUCCUGGACCGAUACUGACGCUGAGGAGCGAAAGCCAGGGGGGCAAACGGG
This 253-nucleotide ribosomal RNA is filed under the name uncultured bacterium. Its description in RNAcentral is "partial 16S ribosomal RNA". It matches the Rfam family "Bacterial small subunit ribosomal RNA", at positions 524 to 776 of the family's 1533-position model. The record is from RNAcentral.